Molecule: ribosomal RNA, 505 nt
Filed under: uncultured bacterium
Lineage: Bacteria
Description: partial 16S ribosomal RNA
Rfam family: Bacterial small subunit ribosomal RNA
Source: RNAcentral
GACGAACGCUGGCGGCGUGCCUAAUACAUGCAAGUAGAACGCACAGUUUAUACCGUAGCUUGCUACACCAUACACUGUGAGUUGCGAACGGGUGAGUAACGCGUAGGUAACCUGCCUGGUGGCGGGGGAUAACUAUUGGAAACGAUAGCUAAUACCGCAUAAUAUUGAUCAUUGCAUGAUAAUUGAUUGAAAGAUGCUAUUGCAUCACUACCAGAUGGACCUGCGUUGUAUUAGCUAGUAGGUGAGGUAACGGCUCACCUAGGCGACGAUACAUAGCCGACCUGAGAGGGUGAUCGGCCACACUGGGACUGAGACACGGCCCAGACUCCUACGGGAGGCAGCAGUAGGGAAUCUUCGGCAAUGGACGAAAGUCUGACCGAGCAACGCCGCGUGAGUGAAGAAGGUUUUCGGAUCGUAAAGCUCUGUUGUAAGAGAAGAACGGGUGUGAGAGUGGAAAGUUCACACUGUGACGGUAUCUUACCAGAAAGGGACGGCUAACUACGUG